This 74-nucleotide transfer RNA is filed under the name Thermoplasmata archaeon. RNAcentral's name for it is "tRNA-Thr". It matches the Rfam family "tRNA". From Rfam's summary of the family: Transfer RNA (tRNA) molecules are approximately 80 nucleotides in length. Their secondary structure includes four short double-helical elements and three loops (D, anti-codon, and T loops). The record is from RNAcentral. Lineage: Archaea; Methanobacteriati; Thermoplasmatota; Thermoplasmata.
GCCACUGUAGCUUAGCUCGGUAGAGCGGCUGGCUUGUAACCAGCAGGUCGGGGGUUCGAAUCCCUCCGGUGGCU